GGCGUCUAGACUCAAAUACACACAAAACGAAGCUACGUAUUGUCAUGCCUGUGCCUUGUUUAUUGUUUUAUUUAGACUUUUAAUAGUUUGAAUAAAUAUUUUACAUUGUUAUAAAUCAGAUAUGAGAAUUUGAUUAGAAUCGGUGAAAUAGAAUUUGACAGCUCAUGCCCCUUUGACAAUUGCUAAAAAUAAAAAAUUCGAAGUUGAUCUGUAACAUGUCAUGAUAAAACAAGCAGCAAAUAUUAAAACAAUAGCUUCAAUGUUUGACUGUCCCUCUGGUAUCUUUCGUCUCUCUUUCCUGCACGGAGGGAAAAAAACAUAUUGAAAACUGAUGUAGAUAUAGGAAGAUGUGGUGUGAGUGCCAAUGAGACAACUCUCCGUCCAAAUAACAAUUUUAAAAAAGUAAACCAUUAUAGGUCAAUGUACGGCCUUCAACACGGAGCCUUGGCUCACACCUAACAACAAGCUAUAAAGGGC
Molecule: long non-coding RNA, 477 nt
Filed under: Mytilus galloprovincialis (Mediterranean mussel)
Lineage: Eukaryota; Metazoa; Mollusca; Bivalvia; Mytilida; Mytilidae
Source: RNAcentral